ACACGACUACAUUAGAUACCCCUGUAGUCCUAGCCGUAAACGAUACUCGCUAGGUGUCGGCCACGGUGCGACCGUUGUCGGUGCCGUAGGGAAGCCGUGAAGCGAGCCACCUGGGAAGUACGGCCGCAAGGCUGAAACUUAAAGGAAUUGGCGGGGGAGCACCACAACAGGUGGAGCCUGCGGUUUAAUUGGAUUCAACGCCGGACAUCUCACCGGAUAAGACAGCUGAAUGAUUGUCAAUCUGAAGGUUUUACAUGACUAGCUG
Molecule: ribosomal RNA, 265 nt
Filed under: uncultured archaeon
Lineage: Archaea
Description: partial 16S ribosomal RNA
Rfam family: Archaeal small subunit ribosomal RNA
Source: RNAcentral